AGCUAACAAGAACUCUUUCUUUU
Molecule: small nuclear RNA, 23 nt
Filed under: Arabidopsis thaliana (thale cress)
Lineage: Eukaryota; Viridiplantae; Streptophyta; Magnoliopsida; Brassicales; Brassicaceae
Description: snRNA_03287
Source: RNAcentral